UUGAACGCUGGCGGCAUGCUUUACACAUGCAAGUCGAACGGCAGCACGGGGGCAACCCUGGUGGCGAGUGGCGAACGGGUGAGUAAUACAUCGGAACGUGUCCUGUAGUGGGGGAUAACCCACCGAAAGGUGAGCUAAUACCGCAUACGAUCUCAGGAUGAAAGCGGGGGACCUUCGGGCCUCGCGCUAGAGGAGCGGCCGAUGUCCGAUUAGCUAGUUGGUGAGGUAAAGGCUCACCAAGGCUGCGAUCGGUAGCUGGUCUGAGAGGAUGAUCAGCCACACUGGGACUGAGACACGGCCCAGACUCCUACGGGAGGCAGCAGUGGGGAAUUUUGGACAAUGGGGGCAACCCUGAUCCAGCAAUGCCGCGUGAGUGAAGAAGGCCUUCGGGUUGUAAAGCUCUUUCGGUGGGGAAGAAAUCGCGUCUGUGAACAGCGGGCGUGGAUGACGGUACCCGAAGAAGAAGCACCGGCUAACUACGU
RNAcentral lists this ribosomal RNA (482 nucleotides) under uncultured bacterium. RNAcentral describes it as "bacterial SSU rRNA". It matches the Rfam family "Bacterial small subunit ribosomal RNA", at positions 29 to 506 of the family's 1533-position model. The record is from RNAcentral.